RNAcentral lists this long non-coding RNA (681 nucleotides) under Mytilus galloprovincialis (Mediterranean mussel). The record is from RNAcentral. Lineage: Eukaryota; Metazoa; Mollusca; Bivalvia; Mytilida; Mytilidae.
UUGGUCCCAAAAAAACCCAUCAUCAACCAGGAUAUAAUAUUCCAAAUUUUAAUUUAUUAUACUAAUAUCAGUUGAAAUCUCAAGCCACUAUUUUGCAUGUUUACAAUGUAGGUCAUGUCCCAACAGAAAAUCAAUGAAUUUGACAGUACAAUGUACUCUUAGCACAAACACAUAAGGUCACUGUGAAAUAGACAUCUAGGGCAAGAAACAGUCAGUUAUACCAAACCAGUUUGACUAGAUGUCUACUUUAAAACCAGUUUGACUAGAUGUGUCCUAUAUUUUGACAAUGUAAAUGACAUGAGGACCUGCAUGGGUUUUUUAAUAUCUGUAUUCUUUAAAUUUUAUGGCAUUUUUCUUUUAAGGGGGUUCGCGGGUCUAAAUCAUUUAUAUAGGAUUUCUCUAUAUUUUUCUAUAAAUGAACUUUAUCUUAUCGUUAUUAGAAAAAUAAAAUAAAAAAAAUGGGGUCACCGUUCAUUUGCGCUCACAAUCUGCCUUCGAAAGAAGCAUAAAAGUGGUGUUUUUCUGUUGAAUUAAUAGGAGAAAUAAAGGUAAUAUCGAAAUAAAAAAAGAAAUUUAUUACAGAAAUCGCUCAAAUUUUACAAUAAUUUAGUUUAAGUACAGCAUAUAUAAAAAUUAUAUUAAAAAAUAUAGGUCACCGACGAGUUAAAAGAGAUAUUUCAA